This 1343-nucleotide ribosomal RNA is filed under the name uncultured bacterium. RNAcentral describes it as "16S ribosomal RNA". It matches the Rfam family "Bacterial small subunit ribosomal RNA", at positions 28 to 1378 of the family's 1533-position model. The record is from RNAcentral.
GACGAACGCUGGCGGCGUGCUUAACACAUGCAAGUCGAACGGAAAGGCCCUGCUUUUGUGGGGUGCUCGAGUGGCGAACGGGUGAGUAACACGUGAGUAACCUGCCCUUGACUUUGGGAUAACUUCAGGAAACUGGGGCUAAUACCGGAUAGGAGCUCCUGCUGCAUGGUGGGGGUUGGAAAGUUUCGGCGGUUGGGGAUGGACUCGCGGCUUAUCAGCUUGUUGGUGGGGUAGUGGCUUACCAAGGCUUUGACGGGUAGCCGGCCUGAGAGGGUGACCGGCCACAUUGGGACUGAGGUACGGCCCAGACUCCUACGGGAGGCAGCAGUGGGGAAUAUUGCACAAUGGGCGGAAGCCUGAUGCAGCAACGCCGCGUGCGGGAUGACGGCCUUCGGGUUGUAAACCGCUUUCGCCUGUGACGAAGCGUGAGUGACGGUAAUGGGUAAAGAAGCACCGGCUAACUACGUGCCAGCAGCCGCGGUGAUACGUAGGGUGCGAGCGUUGUCCGGAUUUAUUGGGCGUAAAGGGCUCGUAGGUGGUUGAUCGCGUCGGAAGUGUAAUCUUGGGGCUUAACCCUGAGCGUGCUUUCGAUACGGGUUGACUUGAGGAAGGUAGGGGAGAAUGGAAUUCCUGGUGGAGCGGUGGAAUGCGCAGAUAUCAGGAGGAACACCAGUGGCGAAGGCGGUUCUCUGGGCCUUUCCUGACGCUGAGGAGCGAAAGCGUGGGGAGCGAACAGGCUUAGAUACCCUGGUAGUCCACGCUGUAAACGGUGGGUACUAGGUGUGGGGUCCAUUCCACGGGUUCCGUGCCGUAGCUAACGCUUUAAGUACCCCGCCUGGGGAGUACGGCCGCAAGGCUAAAACUCAAAGGAAUUGACGGGGCCCCGCACAAGCGGCGGAGCAUGCGGAUUAAUUCGAUGCAACGCGUAGAACCUUACCUGGGUUUGACAUGGAUCGGGAGCGCUCAGAGAUGGGUGUGCCUCUUUUGGGGUCGGUUCACAGGUGGUGCAUGGCUGUCGUCAGCUCGUGUCGUGAGAUGUUGGGUUAAGUCCCGCAACGAGCGCAACCCUUGUUCACUGUUGCCAGCACGUCAUGGUGGGGACUCAGUGGAGACCGCCGGGGUCAACUCGGAGGAAGGUGGGGAUGACGUCAAGUCAUCAUGCCCCUUAUGUCCAGGGCUUCACGCAUGCUACAAUGGCUGGUACAGAGAGUGGCGAGCCUGUGAGGGUGAGCGAAUCUCGGAAAGCCGGUCUCAGUUCGGAUUGGGGUCUGCAACUCGACCUCAUGAAGUCGGAGUCGCUAGUAAUCGCAGAUCAGCAACGCUGCGGUGAAUACGUUCCCGGG